GACGAACGCUGGCGGCGUGCCUAAUACAUGCAAGUCGAGCGCAGAAGGCUGGUUCUUGUACCAACUGGAUGAGCAGCGCACGGGUGAGUAACGCGUGGGGAAUCUGCCUUUGAGCGGGGGACAACAUUUGGAAACGAAUGCUAAUACCGCAUAAAAACUUUAAACACAAGUUUUAAGUUUGAAAGAUGCAAUUGCAUCAUUCAAACAUGAUUCCGCGUUGUAUUAGCUAGUUGGUGAGGUAAAGGCUCACCAAGGCGAUGUUACAUAGCCGAACUGAGAGGGUGGUCAGCCGCAUUGGGAGGGAGACACGGCCCAAACGCCUACAGGAAGCAGCAGGAGGGAAUCUUCAGCAAGGGGCGAGAGUCUGACCAAGAAGCGCCGCGUGAGUAUAGAGGGAUGUCGGGUCGGAGAACACUGUUUGUAGGGAAGAACGUUGGUGAGAGUGGAAAGCACAUUGAGUGACGGUAACUGCUCAGAAAGCGACGGCUAACUACGUG
This 497-nucleotide ribosomal RNA is filed under the name uncultured bacterium. Its description in RNAcentral is "partial 16S ribosomal RNA". It matches the Rfam family "Bacterial small subunit ribosomal RNA", at positions 28 to 507 of the family's 1533-position model. The record is from RNAcentral.